CAAUAGCGUAUAUUUAAGUUGUUGCAGUUAAAAAGCUCGUAGUUGGAUUUCGGGCGGGUGACGGCGGUUCGCCUCUGGUGUGCACUGCCGGCAUCCGCCUUUCUGUCGGGGACGGGCUCCUGGGCUUCAUUGCUUGGGACUCGGGUUCGACGUGGUUACUUUGAGUAAAUUAGAGUGUUCAAAGCAGGCGAUCGCCCUGAAUACAUUAGCAUGGAAUAGCACGAUAGGACUCUGGCCUAUUUUGCUGGUCUGUAGGACCGGAGUAAUGAUUAAGAGGGACAGUCGGGGGCAUUCGUAUUUCAUUGUCAGAGGUGAAAUUCUUGGAUUUAUGAAAGACGAACUUCUGCGAAAGCAUUUGCCAAGGAUGUUUUCAUUGA
Molecule: ribosomal RNA, 377 nt
Filed under: uncultured eukaryote
Lineage: Eukaryota
Description: partial 18S ribosomal RNA
Rfam family: Eukaryotic small subunit ribosomal RNA
Source: RNAcentral